UACGUAGGGGGCUAGCGUUGUCCGGAUUUAUUGGGCGUAAAGGGCGCGUAGGCGGCUCGGCACGUCCGUUGUGAAAUCGCCCGGCUCAACUGGGCGGGGUCAGCGGAUACGGUCGAGCUUGAGCAAGCUAGGGGGUAAUGGAAUUCCCGGUGUAGUGGUGGAAUGCGUAGAUAUCGGGAGGAACACCAGUGGCGAAGGCGGUUACCUGGGGCUUUGCUGACGCUGAUGCGCGAAAGCGUGGGGAGCGAUCCGG
Molecule: ribosomal RNA, 253 nt
Filed under: uncultured bacterium
Lineage: Bacteria
Description: partial 16S ribosomal RNA
Rfam family: Bacterial small subunit ribosomal RNA
Source: RNAcentral